GCGGCCAGUGAAGGAGACAGCUUCAGUGAGCAGCAGCCUGUGAGUGUGCAUUUCCAAGGAAUCCAAACAACUCUGUGGCAGCCAGGAAGUCCACUCGCAAUGGCUCUAACCAUUCCCUUCAAGAAAGCCCAACACUCACGGAGCAAAACUGGACCCACGUAUGGAAAUGAGUCUGUCAUGAAUACCAGGCUUCAGUACAUGCACUCCUUGGAGCCAUGGAUUGGAUUUCUCAUUACUGUUCACUAUGAAACUUGGUAAAAACAACCAUGACCAUGAUGGAAUGUUGUGAAAACUGAUCAUACAAACUGGGUCAUUCUUGUGACAUCAAACUAACCCAGAGUAUAGAAGCCAGGAGGGAAGAGCACUCAGGGCACAUAACAUUGCUCCAAGAAUGUCACUCUCUGUAAGCCUGGCUGCUGAAACUGCCUGCUGUCAUCUGAAACCAGUUUUACCUAAUGGCUACUGAAACAACGUGCUGUGAUUCUAAGAACAGUUUUACCCACCACUUUCACCACUUGCCACUCAGAGCAUGUCAGCCCCCCAGAAACUUACCAGUGCCAAUGAAUUUUCUGGAAAAACAAUGCACACCACUUCUCCUUUUAAUAAAACUUCCAACCUUCU
Sapajus apella (tufted capuchin) is the source of this 621-nucleotide long non-coding RNA. RefSeq lists it as uncharacterized. The transcript has 2 exons. Lineage: Eukaryota; Metazoa; Chordata; Mammalia; Primates; Cebidae. The record is from RefSeq and is a predicted model, not a curated record.